AUGCCAGUGGCCGUACAACUGGUAAGCAGUCAAAUGAUUUUCUGGUAAUAAUAAUGUUUAUGUGCCUAAUGAAGUUAAUUUUUCUGUCGAGUGAGAUUUGUUAAUUGGUGUGACAUAAAGCUAGUGUGUAUGGAGUGCUCUCCUGGCCAUAGUUUUUCAUUAUCUUUUAUUUCUGUCAGAGAUGAGUUAAUUUAUUUUCUAUUUAAUUUGUUGUUUGCCUGCAGUCUAAUUUAUCUUAUUCCAAGCAUCACGUGUUUUAUUUUAGCAAAUUGAUUAG
Molecule: unclassified non-coding RNA, 277 nt
Filed under: Hevea brasiliensis (rubber tree)
Lineage: Eukaryota; Viridiplantae; Streptophyta; Magnoliopsida; Malpighiales; Euphorbiaceae
Source: RNAcentral